Long non-coding RNA from Homo sapiens (human), 2632 nucleotides. NCBI's taxonomy places the organism in Eukaryota, Metazoa, Chordata, Mammalia, Primates, Hominidae. The record is from Ensembl.
CAGGAGUAGUUUGUCUGAUGGUAUUGGGAUCUGCUUUGCAAUUGCCAAGCGCUAAGGCACAAGCUGGCAGAUGUGCUGCGGCUCUGCUACGGGCGGCUCUGUCGCCUUCAGUCGCAGGCUGGUUCUUUGGGGGAAAGUUGUAUCCAAUAUUGGUGACUCCCGGGAAUAGUCUGUUUGUGUGCUACUUAAUGGUCUCUAGGCUUCCUUGUCUUGUAGAACCUUGUUAGAAAGGAGCCUUGGUGAUUAAGAGGCUAUGGAGUACACAGCCUUGCUUAGCAGAUGAGCCCUUAUCCAUUUCCCGUUUCCUUAAAAACGGCUAAUUGAUGGAUGCUGCAGAAAACAUGCACUCUGCUAAUAAGAUGCUGAUGACAAAAUAGGUAUCAGGAAAGGCAUUUACUGCUUAUGAGCACCAUCAGCUUUCUUUCGAGUGAGAUUGUGGCUUUGUAGUAAAGUUUUUUUUUAAGUAAUAUGCUAAUAGUUUUAUUCUAAAUCGGCCAGCGCUGAAUAUCUUCAGGAAAAUGGGUUCCAUGAGAAGUGACAUCCUCCUCGAAUCAAAAGAUUCUCAGGAUGAUGGAGUGAGUGAUGGAAUAGGUUGCCAACUGUAGUUACUCCACUCAGCACAGAAUGGCUGCGGGGAAAUAUAAUCAGACAUGCCCAAAGAAGUCUGCUUAGGGUGAAACAAAUACCUUUGAGGUUUAAAUCAGAAAGGAAGGAGAGACUGUUUCUACAGGUGUCAUACAAAAAUCAAUACUGAGCCAAGGAUUAUUGGAUCCCAUAGAACCACGGAGACUUGGUAGUGAAAUUCUUCCAAAGCAUUCCAUCCGUGCAGGCAGAUGGUGUUCCUAGGUUUGGAAAUAUAAAUCCCAUGGGAAGUCAGCUGAAGACCAUUUUAUGCAUCACUCAUCCUGUUAGAGCCCUGUGCUGUUCUGUCUCUCUAUAAGACUGGCUGAAACCACCACGGUUGUUUACAAUUUAUGCUCUAACUUUGGAUCACCUAGUUAAUACUCUAACUCCGAUUAUUACCAAAGACAAUGUUCUAUAAAAGAUAUUGUCUAUUAGAAGGAUGCUUCUGCAUUAUUAAUAAAAUCACAGGGAAAAUGCAACAUUUUGGAUGUCACAUCUGAUAAGUGGGUGACUGAUCGUACCCGCCAGCUGGCUAAUGUCAUAAUUAACAAAGUUGCUACUACAUCUGCAAAGUUUAAUCGAAAAAUUUGCCAGUGAUAUGAUGGCCUUGUCACAGAGAUCACAAGGGACACGGAGUUGACUUUUGCUCAAGGUGGAACGACAGAGCUGUGUAGGCAAGAUGAGAAAUUGCGAACUUGUUCGGCCAAAGGAGGCUAAUAAUGAAGGGGCCGGGAAGGAGGCCAGUGCUACCAGGGUUAUCUCACAACCUCAGAUGCUGGAUAAGUCGACGGAGGCAGAAUCGCUUUGGGAUGACAUUCAGAAAGCCUGGAGUGAUUACUUGCAAGAGAAAAGCCUACCUAUUCUUUCCAAGGUGCAGGAAUAUUCCCCUGACCUGCUCAUCCAGUGGUCCAGUAAUGAAUUACUGGAGACCUGCCUUAGACAAAGAAUGCACUCGGAGCCCCAACACACCUAAAGCCAUGCUUUGAAGGAUCUGCCAAGCUCACUUUUAAUCAUGAGAAAGAAAUUACCCACACGGAGUCAGCAGAAAAUGAGAAAGUAGAGCUCGUGCUGUGAAUAAUUCCAGCAAGUGCCAAGGGGCUAGUUGAGGAAUGGCUUCAUGAGAACAUGCUCUAGGGGAACUAUUAAUAGCCCACCAGUCGGGUAGGCAGCAUUCAAUCCUUCUAUGCCUUCUUUCGCCACCUGUUGAGGUCUUUCUUCUGAAACAAAGAAGAAAUAGACAAAUCAGACUUGCCCUCUUGGAAAUGUGGUCCAGAUUUCUCUACUCCCAAGCUCCAAAAAAGGUAUACAUUGGAUGGGCUAGAUCAACUCCUCCUGAGAGCCAUAAAUCCGCCAAGAGUUGUUUUCCAUGUAAGGGUGUGGUACAAUGGGGAACACCUGAUGUUGGAGGAAAGCAGGAGGACUUUAGAGUGGAGUUGCAUUCUAAUCUCUCUGCCGCUUCAACUAUGUGACCUGGGGCAAAUGAUAUAAACUCUAUGAGCCUCUUUCCUUAUCUUUAAAAUGAAGAGAAGUAAUACCUACCUUGUAGGGCUGUUGUGAGGAUUAAAUGAAGUAAUGCAUACAGUGCCUAACAAAGUAUUUAACAUCAUAUUUUUUAAAAGCUCAUGAAAUAUUAGUUUUUCUUCCUUCCCCUCUUUCUAUUUUCUCUCCUGUUCCCUUUUCUCUCCCUCCUCUGCCCUCUCCUUCCUUCAGAUGUUAGUCUAAAACAGCACCUUGGAUCUAAGCAGCACCUUUGAGAAAGAAAAGACUGCUUCAAGAAUGUCUAGUUGCACCUCCUUUCCGUAUGUGGCCUAAAUGCCUAGGUUGGAUCAAUAGUUUAAUUUUUUUAUUGAACUGUUUAAUAUUGACUAUGGACUUACAUUCACUUUUACUGUUUUCUGUAUAUUUACUUUUGCUUGAAGUGUUUUAAUAUUGACUAUUUACCUCUGCUCAUUUUUAUUGAUUUUCUGUAUUUUUUCAAUGAAAAUUAUAAUAAAAAUUAUUUUUGUUA